GACGAACGCUGGCGGCGUGCUUAACACAUGCCAGUCGAACGGAAAGGCCCUGCUUUUGUGGGGUGCUCGAGUGGCGAACGGGUGAGUAACACGUGAGUAACCUGCCCUUGACUUUGGGAUAACUUCAGGAAACUGGGGCUAAUACCGGAUAGGAGCUCCUGCUGCAUGGUGGGGGUUGGAAAGUUUCGGCGGUUGGGGAUGGACUCGCGGCUUAUCAGCUUGUUGGUGGGGUAGUGGAUUACCAAGGCUUUGACGGGUAGCCGGCCUGAGAGGGUGACCGGCCACAUUGGGACUGAGAUACGGCCCAGACUCCUACGGGAGGCAGCAGUGGGGAAUAUUGCACAAUGGGCGGAAGCCUGAGGCAGCAACGCCGCGUGCGGGAUGACGGCCUUCUGGUUGUAAACCGCUGUCGCCUGUGACGAAGCGUGAGUGACGGUAAUGGGUAAAGAAGCACCGGCUAACUACGUG
Molecule: ribosomal RNA, 468 nt
Filed under: uncultured bacterium
Lineage: Bacteria
Description: partial 16S ribosomal RNA
Rfam family: Bacterial small subunit ribosomal RNA
Source: RNAcentral